Molecule: ribosomal RNA, 254 nt
Filed under: uncultured bacterium
Lineage: Bacteria
Description: partial 16S ribosomal RNA
Rfam family: Bacterial small subunit ribosomal RNA
Source: RNAcentral
UACGUAGGGUGCGAGCGUUGUCCGGAAUUAUUGGGCGUAAAGAGCUCGUAGGCGGUGUGUCGCGUCGGUCGUGAAAACUUGGGGCUUAACUCUGAGCUUGCGGUCGAUACGGGCAUCACUGGAGUUCGGCAGGGGAGACUGGAAUUCCUGGUGUAGCGGUGAAAUGCGCAGAUAUCAGGAGGAAUACCGGUGGCGAAGGCGGGUCUCUGGGCCGAUACUGACGCUGAGGAGCGAAAGCGUGGGGAGCGAACAGG